UACAGAGGGGGCAAGCGUUGUUCGGAAUUACUGGGCGUAAAGGGCGCGUAGGCGGCCUUCUAAGUCGAACGUGAAAUCCCCGGGCUCAACCUGGGAACUGCAUUGGUGACUGGCAGGCUAGAGUAUGGCAGAGGGGGGUAGAAUUCCACGUGUAGCAGUGAAAUGCGUAGAGAUGUGGAGGAAUACCGAUGGCGAAGGCAGCCCCCUGGGCCAAUACUGACGCUCAUGCACGAAAGCGUGGGGAGCAAACAGG
RNAcentral lists this ribosomal RNA (253 nucleotides) under uncultured bacterium. RNAcentral's name for it is "partial 16S ribosomal RNA". It matches the Rfam family "Bacterial small subunit ribosomal RNA", at positions 524 to 776 of the family's 1533-position model. The record is from RNAcentral.